Pelobates cultripes (western spadefoot toad) is the source of this 216-nucleotide non-coding RNA. Lineage: Eukaryota; Metazoa; Chordata; Amphibia; Anura; Pelobatidae. The record is from the annotation of a GenBank genome assembly.
UUGUGUUCCAGACCAACAUCAAUCCAAAUGGAAACAUUCGGUUCUAUCUCCUCUUAUGUACUUGCCACAGAAAUAAUAAUUGCAUCUAUGAAUUUGUUACCAUUUUUCCAAUCCAUAGAUAUGUUACACUACUUACUUGUGACCCAAUAUAGCGGACAUCACAAUCCCUUCCCCUAUGGUUAAGUUACGCAAAUCAUGUAUGGGCUCGAUUACAAG